RNAcentral lists this ribosomal RNA (585 nucleotides) under uncultured bacterium. RNAcentral describes it as "partial 16S ribosomal RNA". The record is from RNAcentral.
CCGUCAAUUCCUUUGAGUUUCAACCUUGCGGUCGUACUCCCCAGGCGGAGUGCUUAAUGCGUUAGCUGCAGCACUGAUCUCUUAUGAGACCAACACUUAGCACUCAUCGUUUACGGCGUGGACUACCAGGGUAUCUAAUCCUGUUUGCUCCCCACGCUUUCGCGCCUCAGUGUCAGUUACAGGCCAAAAAGCCGCCUUCGCCACUGGUGUUCCUCCUAAUCUCUACGCAUUUCACCGCUACACUAGGAAUUCCACUUUUCUCUCCUGCACUCAAGUUUAACAGUUUCCAAUGACCCUCCACGGUUGAGCCGUGGGCUUUCACAUCAGACUUAUUAAACCACCUGCGCGCGCUUUACGCCCAAUAAUUCCGGACAACGCUUGCCACCUACGUAUUACCGCGGCUGCUGGCACGUAGUUAGCCGUGGCUUUCUGGUUAGGUACCGUCUCUACUGUAUAUAGUUACUAUACAAUCAUUCUUCCCUAACAACAGAGCUUUACGAACCGAAAUCCUUCUUCACUCACGCGGCGUUGCUCCGUCAGGCUUUCGCCCAUUGCGGAAGAUUCCCUACUGCUGCCUCCCGUAGG